RNAcentral lists this ribosomal RNA (292 nucleotides) under uncultured bacterium. RNAcentral describes it as "partial 16S ribosomal RNA". RNAcentral also lists the same sequence under 1 other name. The record is from RNAcentral.
GGACUACUAGGGUAUCUAAUCCUGUUUGCUCCCCUAGCUUUCGUGCCUCAGUGUCAGGAAGUGUCCAGGGACUCGCCUUCGCCACUGGUGUUCCACUUGAUAUCUACGCAUUUCACUGCUACACCAAGUAUUCCAGUCCCCCCUCCACUCCUCCAGCCGGAUAGUUUCCAAUGCCAUUUCCGAGUUGAGCUCGGAGAUUUCACAUCAGACUUACCCGGCCACCUACGCACCCUUUACGCCCAGUGAAUCCGAACAACGCUUGGGACCUCUGUAUUACCGCGGCUGCUGGCAC